RNAcentral lists this ribosomal RNA (1251 nucleotides) under metagenome. RNAcentral's name for it is "bacterial LSU rRNA". It matches the Rfam family "Bacterial large subunit ribosomal RNA", at positions 1634 to 2877 of the family's 2925-position model. The record is from RNAcentral.
AUAUACGACCGUACCGCAAACCGACACUGGUGCGCGAGAUGAGUAUUCUAAGGCGCUUGAGAGAACUCAGGAGAAGGAACUCGGCAAAUUGACACCGUAACUUCGGAAGAAGGUGUGCCCUAUUAGUGUGUAGUGAACAACGAAGCAUGAAUGGGUUGCAAAAAAUCGGUGGCUGCGACUGUUUAUUAAAAACACAGCACUCUGCAAACACGAAAGUGGACGUAUAGGGUGUGACGCCUGCCCGGUGCUGGAAGAUUAAAUGAUGGGGUGCAAGCUCUUGAUUGAAGUCCCAGUAAACGGCGGCCGUAACAAUAACGGUCCUAAGGUAGCGAAAUUCCUUGUCGGGUAAGUUCCGACCUGCACGAAUGGCGUAACGAUGGCCACACUGUCUCCUCCUGAGACUCAGCAAAGUUGAAAUGUUUGUGAUGAUGCAAUCUCCCCGCGGAAAGACGGAAAGACCCCAUGAACCUUUACUGUAGCUUUGUAUUGGACUUUGAACAGAUCUGUGUAGGAUAGGUGGGAGGCUUUGAAGCAGGGUCGCUAGAUCUUGUGGAGCCAACGCUGAAAUACCACCCUGGUGUGUUUGAGGUUCUAACCUAGGUCCAUUAUCUGGAUCGGGGACAGUGCAUGGUAGGCAGUUUGACUGGGGCGGUCUCCUCCCAAAGCGUAACGGAGGAGUUCGAAGGUACGCUAGUUACGGUCGGACAUCGUGACGAUAGUGCAAUGGCAUAAGCGUGCUUAACUGCGAGACUGACAAGUCGAGCAGAUGCGAAAGCAGGACAUAGUGAUCCGGUGGUUCUGUAUGGAAGGGCCAUCGCUCAACGGAUAAAAGGUACUCUGGGGAUAACAGGCUGAUACCGCCCAAGAGUUCAUAUCGACGGCGGAGUUUGGCACCUCGAUGUCGGCUCAUCUCAUCCUGGGGCUGUAGCCGGUCCCAAGGGUAUGGCUGUUCGCCAUUUAAAGAGGUACGUGAGCUGGGUUUAAAACGUCGUGAGACAGUUUGGUCCCUAUCUUCCGUGGGCGCUGCAGAUUUGAGGAAGCCUGCUCCUAGUACGAGAGGACCGGAGUGGACACACCUCUGGUGUAUCGGUUGUCACGCCAGUGGCAUUGCCGAGUAGCUAAGUGUGGAAGAGAUAACCGCUGAAAGCAUCUAAGCGGGAAACUCGUUUCAAGAUGAGAUCUGCCGGGGCCUUGAGCCCCCUAAAGAGUCGUUCAAGACCAGGACGUUGAUAGGUCAGGUGUGGAAGCGAA